Molecule: unclassified non-coding RNA, 450 nt
Filed under: uncultured Bordetella sp.
Lineage: Bacteria; Pseudomonadati; Pseudomonadota; Betaproteobacteria; Burkholderiales; Alcaligenaceae
Description: partial 16S-23S ribosomal RNA intergenic spacer
Rfam family: Bacterial small subunit ribosomal RNA
Source: RNAcentral
ACGGGAGGCAGCAGUGGGGAAUUUUGGACAAUGGGGGAAACCUGAUCCAGCCAUCCCGCGUGUGCGAUGAAGGCCUUCGGGUUGUAAAGCACUUUUGGCAGGAAAGAAACGGCGCAGGAUAAUACGUGCAGCUGACGGUACCCUGCAGAAUAAGCACGGCUAACUACAGUGCAGCAGCCAUGAUAAUACGUGAGGUGCAAGCGUUAAUCGGAAUUACUGGGCGUAAAGCGUGCGCAGGCGGUUCGGAAGAAGAUGUGAAAUCCCAGAGCUUAACUUUGGAACUGCAUUUUUAACUACCGAGCUAGAGUGUGUCAGAGGUGGGAUUCCGCGUGUAGCAGUGAAAUGCGUAGAUAUGCGGAGGAACACCGAUAGCGAAGGCAGCCUCCUGGGAUAACACUGACGCUCAUGCACGAAAGCGUGGGAGCAAACAGAGUUAGAUACCCUUGUAGU